UACGUAGGGCGCAAGCGUUAUCCGGAAUUAUUGGGCGUAAAGAGCUCGUAGGCGGCUUUGCAAGACAGAUGUGAAAUCCCCGGGCUUAACUCGGAAACUGCCAUUGAUACUAUUAGUCUUGAAUUAUCUGGAGGUGAGCGGAAUAUGUCAUGUAGCGGUGAAAUGCUUAGAUAUGACAUAGAACACCAAUUGCGAAGGCAGCUCACUACGGAUAUAUUGACACUGAGGCACGAAAGCGUGGGGAUCGAACAGG
This 253-nucleotide ribosomal RNA is filed under the name uncultured bacterium. Its description in RNAcentral is "partial 16S ribosomal RNA". It matches the Rfam family "Bacterial small subunit ribosomal RNA", at positions 524 to 776 of the family's 1533-position model. The record is from RNAcentral.